This 886-nucleotide ribosomal RNA is filed under the name Staphylococcus sp. TP11-4. Its description in RNAcentral is "bacterial SSU rRNA". It matches the Rfam family "Bacterial small subunit ribosomal RNA", at positions 56 to 923 of the family's 1533-position model. Lineage: Bacteria; Bacillati; Bacillota; Bacilli; Caryophanales; Staphylococcaceae. The record is from RNAcentral.
UGCAAGUCGAGCGAACAGAUAAGGAGCUUGCUCCUUUGACGUUAGCGGCGGACGGGUGAGUAACACGUGGGUAACCUACCUAUAAGACUGGGAUAACUUCGGGAAACCGGAGCUAAUACCGGAUAACAUUUGGAACCGCAUGGUUCUAAAGUGAAAGAUGGUUUUGCUAUCACUUAUAGAUGGACCCGCGCCGUAUUAGCUAGUUGGUAAGGUAACGGCUUACCAAGGCGACGAUACGUAGCCGACCUGAGAGGGUGAUCGGCCACACUGGAACUGAGACACGGUCCAGACUCCUACGGGAGGCAGCAGUAGGGAAUCUUCCGCAAUGGGCGAAAGCCUGACGGAGCAACGCCGCGUGAGUGAUGAAGGGUUUCGGCUCGUAAAACUCUGUUAUUAGGGAAGAACAAACGUGUAAGUAACUGUGCACGUCUUGACGGUACCUAAUCAGAAAGCCACGGCUAACUACGUGCCAGCAGCCGCGGUAAUACGUAGGUGGCAAGCGUUAUCCGGAAUUAUUGGGCGUAAAGCGCGCGUAGGCGGUUUCUUAAGUCUGAUGUGAAAGCCCACGGCUCAACCGUGGAGGGUCAUUGGAAACUGGGAAACUUGAGUGCAGAAGAGGAAAGUGGAAUUCCAUGUGUAGCGGUGAAAUGCGCAGAGAUAUGGAGGAACACCAGUGGCGAAGGCGACUUUCUGGUCUGUAACUGACGCUGAUGUGCGAAAGCGUGGGGAUCAAACAGGAUUAGAUACCCUGGUAGUCCACGCCGUAAACGAUGAGUGCUAAGUGUUAGGGGGUUUCCGCCCCUUAGUGCUGCAGCUAACGCAUUAAGCACUCCGCCUGGGGAGUACGACCGCAAGGUUGAAACUCAAAGGAAUUGACGGGGACCCG